UUAUUUUCAUAUCUAAUUAUAAUAUUUAAAGUUUCGAAAAUGGAGUAGAUCAAAUAGAUACAUGAACACUUAAAAAUUAAAAAAUUAAAAUUGUUUCACGUGGGCUCGACCGCAUUUCUACAUAUGUGGCUCAGAAAGUGUAAAGCAUCCAUAUUAAAAAGGGAUGCAAGUAGGUAUUCCAUCUGAAAACAAUGGAAACUAACGGUCGAAAUGUUUUCUUACUAACCCUUUCUAUUUUUCAGUAGGCCUGUACGCUCC
Molecule: long non-coding RNA, 258 nt
Filed under: Amborella trichopoda
Lineage: Eukaryota; Viridiplantae; Streptophyta; Magnoliopsida; Amborellales; Amborellaceae
Description: long non-coding RNA (ATRI_LNC000756)
Source: RNAcentral